CCAAAAUAUAUACCCAAAUAUGACAUAUACUCGUGGUAUUACUAAAACGACAAUAAAAAGCAAUCAAUUAAGAUAUCCUAUUAAUAGAUCAUUCAAAAACUCCUACUGAACAUCUAAAAAAGUCUGUCCAAAUUACCCAAAAGAAGCUAAAAUAAAUCAUUCUCAAACACAAAAAAAGACUCAAAAUAGAACAUCAAUUUUUAGUUGACUUUGUCUUUUUUCACAUAUGUGCUUCCUUUGCCUUUGCCUCCUCUCACUUUCAGUUUGCUUGCUGCAUUCAACGUUCCUUUUCCCUUAGAUGUGUGAGAUGCCUUUUCGCUAUUAGAUGCCUUUUCGCUAUUAGAUGCCUUUUCGCUAUU
This 359-nucleotide unclassified non-coding RNA is filed under the name Hevea brasiliensis (rubber tree). Lineage: Eukaryota; Viridiplantae; Streptophyta; Magnoliopsida; Malpighiales; Euphorbiaceae. The record is from RNAcentral.